GACGAACGCUGGCGGCGUGCUUAACACAUGCAAGUCGAACGGAAAGGCCCUGCUUUUGUGGGGUGCUCGAGUGGCGAACGGGUGAGUAACACGUGAGCAACCUGCCCUUGACUUUGGGAUAACUUCAGGAAACUGGGGCUAAUACCGGAUAGGAGCUCCUGCUGCAUGGUGGGGGUUGGAAAGUUUCGGCGGUUGGGGAUGGACUCGCGGCUUAUCAGCUUGUUGGUGGGGUAGUGGCUUACCAAGGCUUUGACGGGUAGCCGGCCUGAGAGGGUGACCGGCCACAUUGGGACUGAGAUACGGCUCAGACUCCUACGGGAGGCAGCAGUGGGGAAUAUUGCACAAUGGGCGGAAGCCUGAUGCAGCAACGCCGCGUGCGGGAUGACGGCCUUCGGGUUGUAAACCGCUUUCGCCUGUGACGAAGCGUGAGUGACGGUAAUGGGUAAAGAAGCACCGGCUAACUACGUG
RNAcentral lists this ribosomal RNA (468 nucleotides) under uncultured bacterium. Its description in RNAcentral is "partial 16S ribosomal RNA". It matches the Rfam family "Bacterial small subunit ribosomal RNA", at positions 28 to 507 of the family's 1533-position model. The record is from RNAcentral.